This 253-nucleotide ribosomal RNA is filed under the name uncultured bacterium. RNAcentral describes it as "partial 16S ribosomal RNA". It matches the Rfam family "Bacterial small subunit ribosomal RNA", at positions 524 to 776 of the family's 1533-position model. The record is from RNAcentral.
UACGUAGGGCGCAAGCGUUGUCCGGAAUUAUUGGGCGUAAAGAGCUCGUAGGCGGCCUGUUGCGUCCGCUGUGAAAACCCGGGGCUUAACCCCGGGCUUGCAGUGGAUACGGGCAGGCUGGAGGCAGGCAGGGGAGAACGGAAUUCCCGGUGUAGCGGUGAAAUGCGCAGAUAUCGGGAGGAACACCGGUGGCGAAGGCGGAUCUCUGGGCCGUAACUGACGCUGAGGAGCGAAAGCAUGGGGAGCGAACAGG